This 468-nucleotide ribosomal RNA is filed under the name uncultured bacterium. RNAcentral's name for it is "partial 16S ribosomal RNA". It matches the Rfam family "Bacterial small subunit ribosomal RNA", at positions 28 to 507 of the family's 1533-position model. The record is from RNAcentral.
GACGAACGCUGGCGGCGUGCUUAACACAUGCAAGUCGAACGGAAAGGCCCUGCUUUUGUGGGGUGCUCGCGUGGCGAACGGGUGAGUAACACGUGAGUAACCUGCCCUUGACUUUGUGAUAUCUUCAGGAAACUGGGGCUAAUACCGGAUAGGAGCUCCUGCUGCAUGUUGGGGGUUGGAAAGUUUCGGCGGUUGGGGAUGGACUCGCGGCUUAUCAGCUUGUUGGUGGGGUAGUGGCUUACCAAGGCUUUGACGGGUAGCCGGCCUGAGAGGGUGACCGGCCACAUUGGGACUGAGAUACGGCCCAGACGCCUACGGGAGGCAGAAGUGGGGAAUAUUGCACAAUGGGCGGAAGCCUGAUGCAGCAACGCCGCGUGCGGGAUGACGGCCUUCGGGUUGUAAACCGCUUUCGCCUGUGACGAAGCGUGAGUGACGGUAAUGGGUAAAGAAGCACCGGCUAACUACGUG